This is a long non-coding RNA of Homo sapiens (human), 526 nucleotides long. Ensembl annotates it as long intergenic non-protein coding RNA 1796. Lineage: Eukaryota; Metazoa; Chordata; Mammalia; Primates; Hominidae. The record is from Ensembl.
AUGAUAAUUUUGCAUGACCACCACUGAAUGUGCAGUUCCUUGAUUGACCUGUCCUGAUGCAGUGCCUGACUGUAGUUCUGCAGCUCCACUGAAGAAGAGGCACUGAGGACUAGAGGCAGCCAGGGGAUUGCAACUCAAAGAGGUUUUCUAGAACCAGUUACUUCCAAAUUAUGUUCAAUUAGGCAACAGAACUAAAGAAUAUGCCUCUGAUCUACUUAUUUCUCAGCCUGAAUGCUGACUUCAUAGACUUUCAAAACAAAGUAAUAGGUGAGGAGCAAAGGAAGUAGUUCUGCUGACGGUUCAGGACCUGCUGUGUGGGUAGGGUGGUUCACUAGUCAUCCUGAAAGGUUUUUGAAGUGAUCGUAUCACCAUGAGAAAAAAAUCCUCACUCUUGAGCUUGAUUAAUGUGAUGAGAAGUGCAUCGCAGGGUAACGAAUGCUGUGUUAUUAGCCACCAAAUGCUCCACACGAUGCUGCAGUCUUUCAGAAGCAAAGGGCACAUUGAAAUAAAAUCACACUAAAAGUGU